AUGAACGCUGGCGGCGCGCCUAAUACAUGCAAGUCGAGCGAGAAGACGUAGCAAUACGUUUGUAAAGCGGCGAACGGGUGAGGAAUACAUGGGUAACCUACCCUCGAGUGGGGAAUAACUAGCCGAAAGGUUAGCUAAUACCGCGUACGCUCCUUGGACUUCGGUUCAGGGAGGAAAGACGAUACCGUGGGUAUCGCGCUCUUGGUUGGGCUCAUGUCCUAUCAGCUUGUUGGUGAGGUAACGGCUCACCAAGGCUUCGACGGGUAGCUGGUCUGAGAGGACGAUCAGCCACACUGGCACUGCGACACGGGCCAGACUCCUACGGGAGGCAGCAGUAAGGAAUAUUGCGCAAUGGGCGAAAGCCUGACGCAGCGACGCCGCGUGGGGGA
This 389-nucleotide ribosomal RNA is filed under the name uncultured bacterium. RNAcentral's name for it is "bacterial SSU rRNA". It matches the Rfam family "Bacterial small subunit ribosomal RNA", at positions 29 to 408 of the family's 1533-position model. The record is from RNAcentral.